This 65-nucleotide transfer RNA is filed under the name Potamiscus yiwuensis. RNAcentral describes it as "tRNA-Ala". RNAcentral also lists the same sequence under 1 other name. The record is from RNAcentral. Lineage: Eukaryota; Metazoa; Arthropoda; Malacostraca; Decapoda; Potamidae.
GAAACUAUAGUCAAUAUAUAAUGAUAUAUAAUUUGCACUUAUAAGGAGUUUUAACACUAGUUUCG